RNAcentral lists this transfer RNA (22 nucleotides) under Tetraclita rubescens. Its description in RNAcentral is "partial tRNA-Met". Lineage: Eukaryota; Metazoa; Arthropoda; Thecostraca; Balanomorpha; Tetraclitidae. The record is from RNAcentral.
UAAAAAGAUAAGCUAAAUUUAA